This 404-nucleotide ribosomal RNA is filed under the name Actinomycetes bacterium. RNAcentral's name for it is "Actinobacteria bacterium partial 16S ribosomal RNA". It matches the Rfam family "Bacterial small subunit ribosomal RNA", at positions 355 to 776 of the family's 1533-position model. Lineage: Bacteria; Bacillati; Actinomycetota; Actinomycetes. The record is from RNAcentral.
UGGGGAAUAUUGGACAAUGGGCGCAAGCCUGAUCCAGCCAUGCCGCGUGAGUGAUGAAGGCCCUAGGGUUGUAAAGCUCUUUCACCGGUGAAGAUAAUGACGGUAACCGGAGAAGAAGCCCCGGCUAACUUCGUGCCAGCAGCCGCGGUAAUACGAAGGGGGCUAGCGUUGUUCGGAUUUACUGGGCGUAAAGCGCACGUAGGCGGACUAUUAAGUCAGGGGUGAAAUCCCGAGGCUCAACCCCGGAACUGCCUUUGAUACUGGUAGUCUUGAGUUCGGGAGAGGUGAGUGGAAUUCCGGGUGUAGAGGUGAAAUUCGUAGAUAUUCGGAGGAACACCAGUGGCGAAGGCGGCUCACUGGCUCGAUACUGACGCUGAGGUGCGAAAGCGUGGGGAGCAAACAGG